GAUGAACGCUGGCGGUAUGCUUAACACAUGCAAGUCGAACGGACUCUUCGGAGUUAGUGGCGGACGGGUGAGUAACGCGUGAGAAUCUGGCUUUGGGUUCGGGACAACCACUGGAAACGGUGGCUAAUACCGGAUGUGCCGAGAGGUAAAAGAGAAAUUGCCUGAAGAUGAGCUCGCGUCUGAUUAGCUAGUUGGUGAGGUAAAGGCUCACCAAGGCAGCGAUUAGUAGCUGGUCUGAGAGGAUGACCAGUCACACUGGGACUGAGACACGGCCCAGACUCCUACGGGAGGCAGCAGUGGGGAAUUUUCCGCAAUGGGCGAAAGCCUGACGAAGCAAUACCGCGUGAGGGAAGAAGGCUCUUGGGUUGUAAACCUCUUUUCUUAGGGAAGAACAAAAUGACGGUACCUAAGGAAUCAGCAUCGGCUAACUCCGUG
RNAcentral lists this ribosomal RNA (435 nucleotides) under uncultured bacterium. Its description in RNAcentral is "partial 16S ribosomal RNA". It matches the Rfam family "Bacterial small subunit ribosomal RNA", at positions 28 to 507 of the family's 1533-position model. The record is from RNAcentral.